UCAAUUUCAAUUUCUAUGUCAGUACUUCUACCUAAUCUCUACCAAACAUUACUUUUGAAGUAACUCCACCAUGCAACUUAAUAAAAUUAAAGAUUAGCUACUAACCCUAUCAUGAAAUUAUUUAGAGUUGAGGUAGAGGUACGGACCUAGGAAAUAGAAAUUGGGACAGUGAACAAAAUAUAGUUUGAUGAUUGUUAAUUAGAAAUAUAAAAUUUGUUAAACUCUAAUUUGUUAAAAAUGGUAUGUGCUUGAAGAUUGGAGCUCGAAGAACAUAAGAUUUGCCUCGGCACAUGUUAAGUUGAAGAACUGAGCAUCAGUUAGAAGCCGAUACUUGAGAAGCUAAGAUGUCUAUUCUUGAGCUAAAUAUAACUUUUUCUAUUUUCUUAUUUUGUUAACUUUCUCAAUCUCUAUUUCUAUGUUAGUACUUCUACCUCAUCUCUACCAAACAUUACUUUUGAAAUAACUCCACCAUGCAACUUAAUAAAAUUAAAGAUUAGCUACUAACCCUAUCAUGAAAUUAUUUAGAGUUGAGGUAGAGGUACGGACCCAGGAAAUAGAAAUUAAAACAGUGAACAAAAUAUAGUUUGAUGAUUGUUAAUUAGAAAUAGAAAAUUUAUAAACUCUAAUUUGUAUAUUUGUGACUAGAUAACCCGGAGUCAUUAAGUGCGGCGGAUGGAGGUUAGCUCUGGAGUGUCUUACUGUGAGUGGUAUAUUACACAUAUAUGUAUGUAUAUGCUUUUUCUCCUCUCUCCUUUGCAAUAUGCAUGCGUUUAAAGGCGAAUGAGAAUGACCAAACUUAGUGAUUAAGAUGAUAUGCCCGCAGGCAUUAUGUGAAAAAGUAGAUUUUAACUGCAUAACUAGAUUGAGUUAGAACCUCGUAGGCGAUGGGGUAAUCAUCG
Molecule: long non-coding RNA, 899 nt
Filed under: Ricinus communis (castor bean)
Lineage: Eukaryota; Viridiplantae; Streptophyta; Magnoliopsida; Malpighiales; Euphorbiaceae
Description: long non-coding RNA (RCOM_LNC003553)
Source: RNAcentral